Molecule: ribosomal RNA, 571 nt
Filed under: Bacillus sp. enrichment culture clone M7C4
Lineage: Bacteria; Bacillati; Bacillota; Bacilli; Caryophanales; Bacillaceae
Description: bacterial SSU rRNA
Rfam family: Bacterial small subunit ribosomal RNA
Source: RNAcentral
UAGGGAAUCUUCCGCAAUGGACGAAAGUCUGACGGAGCAACGCCGCGUGAGUGAUGAAGGUUUUCGGAUCGUAAAACUCUGUUGUUAGGGAAGAACAAGUACCGUUCGAAUAGGGCGGUACCUUGACGGUACCUAACCAGAAAGCCACGGCUAACUACGUGCCAGCAGCCGCGGUAAUACGUAGGUGGCAAGCGUUGUCCGGAAUUAUUGGGCGUAAAGGGCUCGCAGGCGGUUUCUUAAGUCUGAUGUGAAAGCCCCCGGCUCAACCGGGGAGGGUCAUUGGAAACUGGGGAACUUGAGUGCAGAAGAGGAGAGUGGAAUUCCACGUGUAGCGGUGAAAUGCGUAGAGAUGUGGAGGAACACCAGUGGCGAAGGCGACUCUCUGGUCUGUAACUGACGCUGAGGAGCGAAAGCGUGGGGAGCGAACAGGAUUAGAUACCCUGGUAGUCCACGCCGUAAACGAUGAGUGCUAAGUGUUAGGGGGUUUCCGCCCCUUAGUGCUGCAGCUAACGCAUUAAGCACUCCGCCUGGGGAGUACGGUCGCAAGACUGAAACUCAAAGGAAUGGACGG